UGGGGAAUUUUGGACAAUGGGCGCAAGCCUGAUCCAGCAAUGCCGCGUGCAGGAAGAAGGCCUUCGGUUGUAAACUGCUUUUGUACGGAACGAAAAGGCUCUGGUUAAUACCUGGGGCUCAUGACGGUACCGUAAGAAUAAGCACCGGCUAACUACGUGCC
RNAcentral lists this ribosomal RNA (161 nucleotides) under uncultured bacterium. RNAcentral's name for it is "partial 16S ribosomal RNA". It matches the Rfam family "Bacterial small subunit ribosomal RNA", at positions 355 to 509 of the family's 1533-position model. The record is from RNAcentral.